AGAGUCCUAAUGCUCAUAGACUUUGAGUUCUACGUAUUUGAAACUCUGUGAUCGAGAAUCAGGAUUCUCCAAUCAUGAGUUUCACAUAUUUUGUGUACCAGGAUCAAGAGUCCCACUGGUUUGGGACUUUUUGAUCAAGGUUUCAUAUCGAUGGACUCUGAUGCCUAAUUGUCCAUCGAAUUUGGACUCAAUAUUUAUGAGAGAUUU
This 207-nucleotide long non-coding RNA is filed under the name Elaeis guineensis (African oil palm). Its description in RNAcentral is "long non-coding RNA (EGUI_LNC027802)". Lineage: Eukaryota; Viridiplantae; Streptophyta; Magnoliopsida; Arecales; Arecaceae. The record is from RNAcentral.